This is a non-coding RNA of Hordeum vulgare subsp. vulgare (domesticated barley), 136 nucleotides long. The record is from Rfam. NCBI's taxonomy places the organism in Eukaryota, Viridiplantae, Streptophyta, Magnoliopsida, Poales, Poaceae.
UAUAUACUCCCUCCGUCCCAAAAUUCUUGUCUUAAGUUUGUCUAAAAAUGGAUGUAUCUAUAUACUAAAACGAGACCAGAUACAUUCAUAUUUAGACAAAUCUAAGACAAGAAUUUUGGGACAGAGGGAGUAUGAC